Podarcis lilfordi (Lilford's wall lizard) is the source of this 76-nucleotide non-coding RNA. The record is from the annotation of a GenBank genome assembly. NCBI's taxonomy places the organism in Eukaryota, Metazoa, Chordata, Lepidosauria, Squamata, Lacertidae.
GCCCUGUGGACAGCUCAGUCAGUAGUGCAUGAGACUCUUAAUCUCUUGGUCAUGGGUUUGAGCCCCACGUUGGGCA